AGACCGCCUCGUUAUUGAUACUGAGGCAGAGGAGGAGGAGGAAAUGGGGGAGCCCUCAGGCCAGCCUGAUGUCACUUACGUGGACUCGGGGGAGGAGGAGCCACAGUAUAUAAUUAUUGACAGUCAGGAGGAGGAAGAGGAGAAGCCCUCUCCCCAACUUGG
This is a long non-coding RNA of Pseudophryne corroboree (corroboree frog), 162 nucleotides long. RefSeq lists it as uncharacterized. The record is from RefSeq and is a predicted model, not a curated record. Lineage: Eukaryota; Metazoa; Chordata; Amphibia; Anura; Myobatrachidae. The transcript is spliced from 3 exons.